UUGAGGCUUAAUCUCGAACUUAAACAUGACCACGAGCAGUUUCAGGACAUGCAUGCUUUGAAAGAUCAAGGAAGUUCGCAGCAUUUUCAUAUGAACCCUGAGUAGUUUGGUCAACAGUAUGAUCUUCAAGAUUGAUGGGCUCUUCUUCCGGUUGGUUACUUAAUCUUUAAGGAUUACCGAGACUUUGCUCUUCGGUGACGGUGCCAGCGAAAGGUCGUUAAAGCUUCUCGAGCCUUUUGGGUUAGAGCAACGGUGUCCAGCUUGGAUCUUUACUUGAACUCCUCCGUCUGGAUUAUGUGGUCAUGCAGGGAAGGGCUUCGUGCUUCAUGAUUUGUUCCAGCUCGUUGUGUUGCAUUCUUCUCUGCUUGUUUCUUUUGCAUAGCUGAAGCGGUGUGCAACCUUUUGCCUUUAAAUGGUUCCUCGGAGCACCACCUCUCAGCGACUCACUCAUGCUUGGCAGCUUCAGUGCAAAGAGCCGAUGUCAACAGAUCCACACUCUUGAAGCAUUUGCUGAGGGAAUUCGAGACAUAUUAACAGUUGAAGAUGAGCACUCGAGAGCAACGCUAGGUAAGUAACCAGGCAAAGGUUCCGGGCAAUCAGCUCCUGGUCGGACAUUUAAUUUCAGGUUCCGACUGAUUGCUUCCUUUCUCCUUGUUCUGCAGGCAAGAGCAAGGGCAGAGGAGAAGAUGGGGGAAGAGCAUGAUAUGAGAUACCUUUGCUUUCGACCCUAGUGAUAUGAGAUACUUUUGCUUUUGAAGAAGUAGCGGACGAUCAGCACAUGCAUUCGUCGCGCCUGUCUCCAUAUGCUUUGAUGCAUCAUCUUCACCUGUAUCAUCUGUUUUCCAGGCAGCUGUGGUAGACGAAGAGGAAGCAGAAGAUGUUGACGAUGGGUAUUCGAGAGCACGGCUAAGUGAGCAAUCAGGAAAGGUUCCAAGC
This 936-nucleotide long non-coding RNA is filed under the name Malus domestica (apple). Its description in RNAcentral is "long non-coding RNA (MDOM_LNC019632)". Lineage: Eukaryota; Viridiplantae; Streptophyta; Magnoliopsida; Rosales; Rosaceae. The record is from RNAcentral.